GGGCCCGCACAAGCAGUGGAGUAUGUGGUUUAAUUCGAAGCAACGCGAAGAACCUUACCAGGGCUUGACAUCCUACUAACGAAGUAGAGAUACAUCAGGUACCCUUCGGGGGAAGUAGAGACAGGUGGUGCAUGGUUGUCGUCAGCUCGUGUCGUGAGAUGUUGGGUUAAGUCCCGCAACGAGCGCAACCCUUAUCAUUAGUUGCUACGCAAGAGCACUCUAGUGAGACUGCCGUUGACAAAACGGAGGAAGGUGGGGACGACGUCAAAUCAUCAUGCCCCUUAUGUCCUGGGCUACACACGUACUACAAUGGCGGUCAUACAACGGGCAGCGACACAGCGAUGUGAAGCAAAUCCCUUAAAAGCCGCCUCAGUUCAGAUCGUAGGCUGCAACUCGCCUACGUGAAGUCGGAAUUGCUAGUAAUCGCGGAUCAGCAUGCCGCGGUGAAUACG
RNAcentral lists this ribosomal RNA (452 nucleotides) under uncultured Eubacteriales bacterium. Its description in RNAcentral is "bacterial SSU rRNA". It matches the Rfam family "Bacterial small subunit ribosomal RNA", at positions 917 to 1370 of the family's 1533-position model. The record is from RNAcentral. Lineage: Bacteria; Bacillati; Bacillota; Clostridia; Eubacteriales.